This 571-nucleotide ribosomal RNA is filed under the name Pseudomonas sp. Its description in RNAcentral is "bacterial SSU rRNA". Lineage: Bacteria; Pseudomonadati; Pseudomonadota; Gammaproteobacteria; Pseudomonadales; Pseudomonadaceae. The record is from RNAcentral.
UUAGAGUUUGAUCAUGGCUCAGAUUGAACGCUGGCGGCAGGCCUAACACAUGCAAGUCGAGCGGUAGAGAGAAGCUUGCUUCUCUUGAGAGCGGCGGACGGGUGAGUAAUGCCUAGGAAUCUGCCUGGUAGUGGGGGAUAACGUUCGGAAACGGACGCUAAUACCGCAUACGUCCUACGGGAGAAAGCAGGGGACCUUCGGGCCUUGCGCUAUCAGAUGAGCCUAGGUCGGAUUAGCUAGUUGGUGGGGUAAUGGCUCACCAAGGCGACGAUCCGUAACUGGUCUGAGAGGAUGAUCAGUCACACUGGAACUGAGACACGGUCCAGACUCCUACGGGAGGCAGCAGUGGGGAAUAUUGGACAAUGGGCGAAAGCCUGAUCCAGCCAUGCCGCGUGUGUGAAGAAGGUCUUCGGAUUGUAAAGCACUUUAAGUUGGGAGGAAGGGUUGUAGAUUAAUACUCUGCAAUUUUGACGUNACCGACASAAUAAGCACCSGCUMACUCUGUGCCAGCASCCGCGGUAAUAMAGAGGGUGCAAGCGUUAAUCGGAAUUACUGGGCGUAAAGCGCGCGU